This is a non-coding RNA of Bos taurus (domestic cattle), 46 nucleotides long. NCBI's taxonomy places the organism in Eukaryota, Metazoa, Chordata, Mammalia, Artiodactyla, Bovidae. The record is from Rfam.
CUAAAGGCUGUUUUCAGAGCCAUCCACAUUUUCAUUAAAAAAAGCU